CAUGAGAUAUAGUAGGUUGCUUGCAUUAGUAUUCACGAAUAUGUUGCAUUGCAUUUAUGAUGUUGAUGUGGAUUGGUCAUUGGAUGAUCCUUUAGUCCUCAUAGGAUAUGAUGAUGUUAUGGCAUGAUAUGGUAUGGAAGUCCAGGUUGUACCCAUUCUACGUCCCUGGCACGAUGUAAGAGGAAGUCCAGGUUGUACCCAUUCUACGUCCCUGGCACAGUUGGACUGUAUGAUAUGUUAUGUUAAGGGAAAGACCGGUUGUACCCAUUCUACGUCCCGGCACAGUUGGACUAUGUAGAGGACUAUUGGUGACAAUACCAUCCGAGAUGUGAUUUGUUGUGAUGUGUUGCAUUACAUAAUGGCAUGAAAUUUUAAUAUAUGUUUUCUCUAUUCUGCUCACUGGGCUUUGUAGCUCACCCCUCUCCCCUAACCCCAGAUGUGCAGGUACAGGGUAGACCAGGAGGUUAGCCAGAGAUAUGAAGUAUGU
RNAcentral lists this long non-coding RNA (487 nucleotides) under Manihot esculenta (cassava). RNAcentral describes it as "long non-coding RNA (MESC_LNC001767)". Lineage: Eukaryota; Viridiplantae; Streptophyta; Magnoliopsida; Malpighiales; Euphorbiaceae. The record is from RNAcentral.